UGCUGCAGAGGAGUCUGCCCAGGAUGAACCACAUCUUGAGCCUUAUGCAUCUGCCAUUCAGAGGACAUUUAAAGGAGAUUUUGGACUUGAAGUUGGUGCUGGGACAAGUUGACCUUGGGAGACCAUUGGAAAGAGAUGAGAUAUGAGCACACAGUGUUCUUACAGUCUGGAAGACACAGGCACAAGGCACCACCAGAGAGCAGAGACCAGGCCCUUAUCAGAUACCCAACCUGUGGGCUCCUUGGACUUCCUGCCUCCUGAACUGCGAGAAAUACACUUAUAUGUCUAGAUAAA
Non-coding RNA from Ictidomys tridecemlineatus (thirteen-lined ground squirrel), 294 nucleotides. The record is from RefSeq and is a predicted model, not a curated record. Lineage: Eukaryota; Metazoa; Chordata; Mammalia; Rodentia; Sciuridae.